UACGUAGGGUGCGAGCGUUAAUCGGAUUUACUGGGCGUAAAGCGUGCGCAGGCGGCCCGUUAAGACAGGUGUGAAAUCCCUGGGCUCAACCUAGGAAUUGCGCUUGUGACUGGCGGGCUCGAGUACGGUAGAGGGGGGUGGAAUUCCUGGUGUAGCAGUGAAAUGCGUAGAUAUCGGGAGGAAGGCCGGUGGCGAAGGCGGCCUCCUGGGCCUGCACUGACGCUGAGGCGCGAAAGCGUGGGGAGCAAACAGG
Molecule: ribosomal RNA, 253 nt
Filed under: uncultured microorganism
Description: partial 16S ribosomal RNA
Rfam family: Bacterial small subunit ribosomal RNA
Source: RNAcentral